AGUGAACGCUGGCGGUAGGCCUAACACAUGCAAGUCGAACGGCAGCACAGUAAGAGCUUGCUCUUACGGGUGGCGAGUGGCGGAUGGGUGAGGAAUACAUCGGAAUCUACUUUUUCGUGGGGGAUAACGUAGGGAAACUUACGCUAAUACCGCAUACGACCUACGGGUGAAAGCAGGGGAUCUUCGGACCUUUCGCGAUUGAUUGAGCCGAUGUCGGAUUAGCUAGUUGGCGGGGUAAAGGCCCACCAAGGCGACGAUCCGUAGCUGGUCUGAGAGGAUGAUCAGCCACACUGGAACGGAGACACGGUCCAGACUCCUACGGGAGGCAGCAGUGGGGAAUAUUGGACAAUGGGCGCAAGCCUGAUCCAGCCAUACCGCGUGGGUGAAGAAGGCCUUCGGGUUGUAAAGCCCUUUUGUUGGGAAAGAAAAGCAGCAGGUUAAUACCCCGCUGUUCUGACGGUACCCAAAGAAUAAGCACCGGCUAACUUCGUG
This 492-nucleotide ribosomal RNA is filed under the name uncultured bacterium. RNAcentral describes it as "partial 16S ribosomal RNA". It matches the Rfam family "Bacterial small subunit ribosomal RNA", at positions 29 to 507 of the family's 1533-position model. The record is from RNAcentral.